UUCCCAAAAUGCAACGCGAAUCUAUUGCGUGCUCUAUAUUGUGAAUACAACUUUUCCUGCGCCCCACAGAUGCAGAUCCUCACAGCAGGACCAUCUGUGUUCUGAUGGGUAUUGAUCCAUUUCUUCCCAAUGAUGCUCGAGGAGGGAGGUGAUAGAUUGAAAUCCCUUGGAGGAGUUUAUGGAAGGAGACACAUUGCUCACCACAGAGCUGGUAGUGCCUGACGACACUCCUGGGCACAAGACCCACUAUUGUCCCACGAGAUAAAGUGUGUUUGUGACCAACACAAGGCGGGGAGGACCAGAUGUUGUGACAUGAUAAGGGGGUGUCAAAGAAACAAGGCUUUUUGUCUCUCGUUGGCUUCAGUCAAGUCGUUAGAUGAAGGUUUCAGCGGACUCCAUUUUCAACUGUUUAUAAGAUGUAAAAUGUCAGACGAGGUUGUCUUUCCUUCAUCCUCCUCCUCCUCCUUCACAGCUAAUUGACUGCAAGUGUUCAUUUGCCUGGAGGAGCAGUCAUUAAAGCUGAAUUACAAAUUUCAGCUCGGCAAUAGAGCAGCCAGGGAUCAAUGGGUUAAUUCAAUUGCCCCGGCAUGUGGUGUGUUGUAUAGCAGGGCAAUUGAAGUUCUUUAGAUGGGAGUCGCACAGUUUCACUGUGUUUAAAAGUGCAAUGAGAUGGCAUGGGGGCAAUGUAAUUAAAAAAAUAAAACCCAAUUUAAAACAAUUACACUGUCACAUACAGAUCUCUCCUCUACUUCUUACAUUUCCACUCAGUUGUCAUAGUUUGAUUUAUGAAAGUAAAUCAAAUAAAUAUAAAAAUACAGUCAGUAUAUCUCAAACCUUAUUUACAAAAUGUUUUUUAAUUUAAGUGUUUUUUUUAUUAUUCAUUUUAUUAAGCUUUAAAUGGGAAAAAAAGUAUUUCACCUCCAAAAAAUAUAUAUACCAUAAUGUUUUUUCUACUUUUAAGUGAAAAAGAUUAGUCUUGAUAGUCUCAAAAAAAUUUUAGUUAAAAAAAACAAAACUUCCUGAAAUUAGCUAAAAACACUUAUAUUUGGGUAUAUUUGUCUUAAAAUUUGGCUGUUUUUCUUUAAAAAAAAAAAAGUCUUUAGGUAUAUUUAUUCACAUCUGCCCCAAAACAUUCUCUUUUAAACUCCACAACUGUCCAACUAUUCUUAUUUCUAGACAAUUACAUAUUUUAAGAUAUUUUUUUUCUUAGAAAUUAAAUCCAUGUUUACUUUUCAAACUUGUCCUGCUGCUGUUAAUUGCAUUUUUACCAUGUAAAGAGUCAAAUUAAACUUUAAUAAGACUACUUUUUCGUUAUGAUUACUUUUGUUUAAAGUGAUUAAAUAAUGUAUUUACAAGUUCGCCGUAUUUUAAUGCAUAAUACCUCAACUUGAGGUAUUACUUAAAACGUUUUCAAGAUCAAAUGACUAAAAAUAUUCAGACUUUAGUGUCUUAAAACAAGUCGUUAUAGAUCUCACUGGAAAAUUACUAAUAAGUUAGUAUUCUAUAAGUUUUAAUAAGAUAAUUAAACAAAAAAAAGCCAAAAAUCCUUGAUGAGAUUUGUUCUUUUGCAGUGUACAUGUUUUCAUUUCACUGCAGAGGAUGUGAGAAAGGAUUUUCUUUAAUCCCCCAAAAUAUCAAACAAACUGUUUUUCACUUAACACUGCAAGCCACAUCCAGAAAUGUAAUCUGAUACUACAUUUCCCAGAGGGAAGACGUGGCUCAGCUCUGAGCAGAAAGUUUGUAAAGUUUUCUGGACUCAAGGUCGUCUCAGAUAGAGGUUCUACAGUCAAAUAGGUCCACCUUUCGGUCUGUUGACUCCAGAGAUGCUAAAAUCUUGUAUUUACUGAGAAUUGGAGCAAACUUGAAAAGCACUAACACGGUAUCAUCAGUUCCAACAAUAAAAAUGAAUGCUUCUUUAGGCUCAGCACGUUUGAGACACUGUAAAAGUGCAUUAUACCAUUUUGUUAUUAUUUCCAUCUGUUGCAUUUUGUUUAAAAGUUUUAUACCACAUUUUUUAAGAGGCAAACAUGUAUUUUAGAUCUUAAUUUUGAGUUUUUGAAUAAUGAGCCAACAGCUUCCUCUGACUUUUAAUACUACUCUGAAACCAUUUUUUUAAACUCUAAAUAUUUAAAAUCAAAGCAGAUUUUCUGUGCUUCACAAUUUAUCCAUCUACCUCAACGUGUCUUUAAUCAA
Long non-coding RNA from Oryzias melastigma (Indian medaka), 2193 nucleotides. RefSeq lists it as uncharacterized. NCBI's taxonomy places the organism in Eukaryota, Metazoa, Chordata, Actinopteri, Beloniformes, Adrianichthyidae. The transcript has 4 exons. The record is from RefSeq and is a predicted model, not a curated record.